UGCCAGCUGGCAGUCAUCAAGGGCAGCUGAGCCUCCUUAGGCUCAGAACCUUGAAGAGCAGCUCAGCUCAGCUCAGUCAAGGGACACUCUGCUUGCUGGAGAUCAGGGCAGGCUGCGCUAGAGAUGAAUAUUGUUUAUGGUACUGUGUAAGGAUUCCUGCUGCAGGAAGAAAACGUGGCUAGAAGUAGCAUUGUGGUUUGGUUUCUUUGGCUGUGCAAGACCUGAAGUCUCAGAGUGAGUAGUUCAACCUGGACUUCCUAGGAAACUUCUCUCCAGCUUAUGUAGGCUCAGACUCUGCCCUGUGUGGGAUUUUUCCUGGGAUGCUCACCAGAGACUAGUAGAAAGGAUUCCAUUUAAAUGUUCCUUCUACCUGAGCACCCCUCUAAACAUGCAGUGAUCCUCCUCCCAGCUGUGACCCAGCAUUGUUGGCAGCAGGGAUUUCACUGUUUCAUGCCUCUUACAAAAAGAGGCAGAGUGCCUAGUGAUUAGAGCACUGGACGGGGACCCAGGCAGACCUUGGCUAUGGACAGGAAACUGUGGGGGUGACAACUCAAUGAGGAAUGAAGUCCAGAUGACUGGUCUUGCUUCAUAUGUUCCCUGCUGGGUGUGAAGAAAUGGCGUUCCAGAGGUCCCGUAGAUACUAGCCAACUCUUAGUAAAUAUUCCCCCUCCCUGGCUGAGGAUGCCUGCUACAAUGGCAGAUGAUUAUUGUGGUUAUCAAUACCAUUAGCAUGUGUUUCUCUGCCCUAUAUGGUAUCCUCUCUCUCAACCGUUCCACUUUUUCUUAUGCAAUCAUUUACAUGGGUAGAUUUCUCUGUCAGAUACAUACUUAUUAUUUCUGUUACUUUCUUUUAAUGUCAUCUUGUCUUUUCCCAAUUUCUAAUACUGUGGAGCCAAUUUCUGAUUCACGUAAAAUGUCCUCCUACUAUUUUGUAAAUGUAAGAAUUACAGCCGUGAUGGCUCUGUGAAAGUUAAAGAAAGCUGAGACUGGAUUAUAUGUUUCCGGGUGCUGAAGGAGAAUGAAUUAUAAAACUGGAUAUUAAAGUUCCAUCCAUCCAUCAGCUCGCCCAGGUCUGUGCAUUAGCCUACAUAGAGAGGACAUGGGGACUUGCCACAGAACUAUAGACCAGUCACUAAAGAGUGCAAAUGAAGGACAACAGUGGGCUCAGGGAUAGCCCCCAGGUUUAGAAAUGUGUUCUACUUAAGAGAUGUGGAGUUGCCUGAAGAUAACUAGGAGAUAGAUAACAGCCAUCAGGAAGUAUUGGUGGUCAUAACAUGUUUGUAAACCUGCAUGCUUGAUAAGAGCCAUUUCUGAAAUUUUUUACAAUGUACUGUGGGCUCAUGGAAGAAAUGAGGUAGUGCUUGUUCCUAUAACAUUCAGCAACACUAAAUCCAAGCCUGAGACAUAGUACCAGAGGGAAGGAUUGGCGAUUGUUGCAGAGCUAAACUUUAAUCUCAUGAAAUUAAGAGGAACAAAAGGUCAGCUAAAACACAAGGAUGCAGACUAAACUGAGGACAUAGAAGCAGACAGAAAACAGGCUUAAAAGGAGCCAUGCUCCUCAGCUGCAGUCAUGUUUGAAUGAACACUGCACACACAAUCAUGCCACAGAACUGAGGAAAAGGUUGUAGUGGACAGAUGUGCUCAAUAAGAAUUGUUCAGCCCAGUCCUGAUAUACAGGGAUAUCAUGUUACUAAGUGAUGAAGCUUGACAGAGAGAGGGAGUUUACAGACAGUGGUUU
Dermochelys coriacea (leatherback sea turtle) is the source of this 1738-nucleotide long non-coding RNA. RefSeq lists it as uncharacterized. NCBI's taxonomy places the organism in Eukaryota, Metazoa, Chordata, Testudines, Dermochelyidae. The record is from RefSeq and is a predicted model, not a curated record. The transcript is spliced from 3 exons.